RNAcentral lists this ribosomal RNA (500 nucleotides) under uncultured bacterium. RNAcentral's name for it is "partial 16S ribosomal RNA". It matches the Rfam family "Bacterial small subunit ribosomal RNA", at positions 30 to 523 of the family's 1533-position model. The record is from RNAcentral.
AUUGAACGCUGGCGGAAUGCUUUACACAUGCAAGUCGAACGGCAGCACGGACUUCGGUCUGGUGGCGAGUGGCGAACGGGUGAGUAAUACAUCGGAACGUGCCCAAUCGUGGGGGAUAACGUAGCGAAAGCUACGCUAAUACCGCAUACGAUCUAAGGAUGAAAGCGGGAGAUCGCAAGACCUCGCGCGAUUGGAGCGGCCGAUGGCAGAUUAGGUAGUUGGUAGGGUAAAGGCCUACCAAGCCGACGAUCUGUAGCUGGUCUGAGAGGAUGAUCAGACACACUGGGACGGAGACACGGCCCAGACUCCUACGGGAGGCAGCAGUGGGGAAUUUUGGACAAUGGACGCAAGUCUGAUCCAGCCAUUCCGCGUGCAGGAUGAAGGCCCUCGGGUUGUAAACUGCUUUUGUACAGAACGAAAAGGCUCUGGUUAAUACCUAGGGCUCAUGACGGUACUGUAAGAAUAAGCACCGGCUAACUACGUGCCAGCCGCCGCCGUAA